CUUAAUUGGGCGUUAAGUUGCAGGGUAUAGACCCGAAACCCGGUGAUCUAGCCAUGGGCAGGUUGAAGGUUGGGUAACACUAACUGGAGGACCGAACCGACUAAUGUUGAAAAAUUAGCGGAUGACCUGUGGCUGGGGGUGAAAGGCCAAUCAAACCGGGAGAUAGCUGGUUCUCCCCGAAAGCUAUUUAGGUAGCGCCUCGUGAAUUCAUCUCCGGGGGUAGAGCACUGUUUCGGCUAGGGGGCCAUCCCGGCUUACCAACCCGAUGCAAACUGCGAAUACCGGAGAAUGUUAUCACGGGAGACACACGGCGGGUGCUAACGUCCGUCGUGAAGAGGGAAACAACCCAGACCGCCAGCUAAGGUCCCAAAGUCAUGGUUAAGUGGGAAACGAUGUGGGAAGGCCCAGACAGCCAGGAUGUUGGCUUAGAAGCAGCCAUCAUUUAAAGAAAGCGUAAUAGCUCACUGGUCGAGUCGGCCUGCGCGGAAGAUGUAACGGGGCUAAACCAUGCACCGAAGCUGCGGCAGCGAACGUAUCACUUAAAGCGAUUCAGCGGGUUACGAUUGACGGAGCGAAGCGACGUCAAAGCGUAUACAAAGUCGAGUCGGUUUAAGGAUACGUUCGUUGGGUAGGGGAGCGUUCUGUAAGCCUGUGAAGGUGUGUCGUGAGGCAUGCUGGAGGUAUCAGAAGUGCGAAUGCUGACAUAAGUAACGAUAAAGCGGGUGAAAAGCCCGCUCGCCGGAAGACCAAGGGUUCCUGUCCAACGUUAAUCGGGGCAGGGUGAGUCGACCCCUAAGGCGAGGCCGAAAGGCGUAGUCGAUGGGAAACGGGUUAAUAUUCCCGUACUUGGUGUUACUGCGAAGGGGGGACGGAGAAGGCUAUGUUGGCCGGGCGACGGUU
RNAcentral lists this ribosomal RNA (900 nucleotides) under Salmonella enterica subsp. enterica serovar Infantis. RNAcentral's name for it is "partial 23S ribosomal RNA". It matches the Rfam family "Bacterial large subunit ribosomal RNA", at positions 683 to 1503 of the family's 2925-position model. Lineage: Bacteria; Pseudomonadati; Pseudomonadota; Gammaproteobacteria; Enterobacterales; Enterobacteriaceae. The record is from RNAcentral. RNAcentral also lists the same sequence under 1 other name.